Oreochromis aureus is the source of this 407-nucleotide long non-coding RNA. NCBI's taxonomy places the organism in Eukaryota, Metazoa, Chordata, Actinopteri, Cichliformes, Cichlidae. The record is from Ensembl.
CAUUAGUCUAACAUGACUUCCUUAUAAGACGCUAAAAUUAAAGUAUGGCGUUUGAGGGAGCUGGAUGAGCAGACCUUUACACACGAGCAUAAAGUCAUCACAGCUGACUCUGGACGGGAUGUCACUGUGCCAUGUCAAGCUCCAAACGACAACAACAACUUAGUUGUCGUUUGGGGCAGAGCUGACCUGAAGUCAGAAUAUGUCCUUUUAUACCAGGAUGAGUUGAUUGUUCCAGACAACCAGCAUCCAUCUUUUGUGAACCGGACAGAUCUGCAGGACAGACAGAUGAAGGAUGGAGACGUGUCUUUGAUUCUGAAGAGUGUGAAUACUGAUGACACUGGAAUGUACGAGUGUUAUGUCAUCCGGGGAUUCAGAAAACGUCACACAGGAGGAGACACAGAGGAUGG